AGGGGGGCGGGGACCGCUUGGCCCGCGCCGCCCUGGCCGCCGAGCGGGGGAUGGGCCCGCGCCGGCUCCGGGAGCGCGACCCCCGGGUUCUCCCCGCGCCCUGCACCCGAGGUUUCCGCCCUGGCGGGGAGACGAGCGCGGCGCGCACACACACACAACGCCUCUUAAAGGCUCCGCCGGAGGCUCGGAGGGAAUCGAGGACUGCGCCUCUCGCAACUUGGCGGUGCCUCGAAACCCGCCGCUCGCGCACCGCCGGGGACUCCCGGCGCGUCCCGGUGCCCACAAAGCCAAAGAAAGAGAAAAGUUCCCCGGUUUCUUUGCAGAGGGGUAGGGGCUGGAAGUGGGAAGGUGCCUCGAACUGAGCUUUCAGGCAUUUUCCAAGCGAAAGAUUUGGCCAAAUCCGGGUGAUGGGAAACCCUUCUCUUAAUCAAUUUUGAACACUUGCUCAGUUUGGGAGGUCGUUUCUUAUUUGUUUAUUUAUUUUAUGUUGAAAAGAGCCGCUCGGUGCCUAUCUUUUCCUUGUAGGGUUAACAUUUCAUAGGUUUGUGGCCUGACAUUUUAAUUGCUCAAAUAAAGUAUCUCGGAUGCUGAGAAGCAGAAGUAGACUUCAUCUCAUUGUCAUGACGCAAUUAAAAUAAAUUUUCCUCAACUUUAUCCUCUCUCGUUGGUUUUAGCUCACUUGCAACCCAACAUCCUGCCACACACCGAGUCCUGGUAAGAGGGAAAAGACCCUUCUGCCCGCUGAUGGACAGGUGAAGGCAUCCGCUCAGUCUCCUCGUCCACACCCUCUGUACAGACAUGUAGGCACACAUGUAUCAGAUGCACAUUUGUCUAUGUUCGCAGACAAAGACUUCUGAGACUGUGCUUCUAGGUCAUAGAACAGUUGAGGACAGAUUUCAUUGCCUUGAAGUUCCUUUUAAGCAUUCAUACAGUCAUGAAAACACACCCAGAGAUUCGGCCCCAAAAUGGAAAUAAUACCUGCACAACUCACAAAAACACACACAGCCAUAUUCAUGCUGGAGAGUCACUGCAAAAAGCACAACUUCAUAGCUUAGACCAUUCUUUUCAGUAUGCCAACAUCAUUGAUAUGGUUGUGUCUUUGAAUUACAGGGUGCUUGAUUUAAACAUCAAACAAGUAGAAUUGCUCCCUACACACACACAUAUACUAUAUUCCACUGCAGUAACCUUGCUGUUUGAUUAUAACCAGUUAGUGCAUUAUGAUUAGUCCACGUUUAGACAAGAGAAUCGUGUUUCGAUCAAGGACACUUUACACCAAGAAAAAUUGUAAACCCAUAAGCCAACAAGGUUCAUGAACAAUUGUAAUAUUUUACACAAAAGACACCGAACUCCACAGGAAAAAUAGGAACAUUGUAAGAAGUAAAUUGAUGACUUCAGAAAAUUAUACUUAGCAGUUCAAAAACAUUGAUGAGAUGAAGGUGUUUAAAAAUAAACCACACAUAUAAUUGACAUGUGCAGCUUGCAGUCUGCAUUCAAUGUCUUUUUACACAGAUAGAAUACGAAGUAAGGAAUAAGUAGGCAGAUAGGGGCUGGUUUUUAGGGAAAGAAAAGAAUUCUCUGUAAAUUUCAUCCCUGGAGCCCUCCUAACCCUCUUAUUCUCCACCGAAAUCACAUAUUUCAUUAAAGCUGCAGGUGCUGGAGUUAUUUGAGUGUUUUAAGAAAUAACAACCUAUAAUAGGCACUGACUUGUCAUAAACCUGACUUGCUAUAAGGUUGUCACAGAGUGAAGCCAGGCUGAGAAUUUCAAGUUGAUUACAGACACAAUAUAACUUUUUCCUAAAGAGAACAAGAAGGAUGGAAAAGAAAUCAUUUCAAAGAGGGUUUUGGUUUUUUUCUCCCCCUUUCAACUUCUGGGAUUCCAGGACUUGCCUUAUGCUGUAAAUGUCAGAAGAUUAGAGACAAGUUUAGCAAUACUGAGACGGGGGUUCAGAUAGGAAAUCUAAAGGGUAUCCUCAUCUCAAUUUAAUAGAAGGUGAGAAUGACUGAUUAUAGGGAAAACUUAAUCUUGCCUCUGGAGUGCAGAGACGUCCGUGGUAAACAUUUUUUGCACACUCGUGAAGAAAUGAUUUCGAUGAUGAAGAAGAGCUUCACUUUUUAAAUUAUUUAGGGAUGGUUGGAAUUUCAAGGCCACAGAUUUGAAUUUAAAGGCCAUGGAACUAUUUGCCAGCUAUCUCUCCUAUAGAGUUGAAGCCUGCCAGGCACAAGAUCACAGGGCUGCCAUGAAGUUAGAAGCAUUUCACUAUGUUUUAGGGUCCAUUCACUUAUGGAAAUGCUGCUUAGGAGAGGUAAAUAUCACUGUGAAAAUGAAGUCAAUUUUAUUGCAUGGAAGCAGAGACAGGACAACUAGGCAGAAGAAAAAUAAAAGGCAAAAUAUUUUUAAAUGUCUUCUUCAGAUAUGGUUAUUUGCUUUAACUUUAAGCAGGCUCUCAGACUACAAGAUAAAUACCACUAUACAUAUGAUUAUUGUUUUUCUUUUAAAUCCAACACAGUCUUUUAUUGCAGAUGUAAAUUUAUUCUAAUGAGAGGAAUGGCAAGCUUUAAUUUGGCUAGUGAAAGUUGGAAAAAUAUUUGUCUUAAUCUUUAAAAAAUCAACCAGGGAUAUGAUUUUCUUGCAAAAAGUAGCCGGAUGGUCUGUGUUCUUUACAGAUUAAAUCACAAUAAGAAUACAGACCCCAGCACAUGCCGAGUUUAACUCUGAACUCAGUAGAAACCAGUUCCGUCCACCAGGAUUCAUUGAAUUCCUCCUUUCCCUCAAUCUAGUCCGUGUGUGUUUUUCUCUUCCACCACGCUGGAGCUCCAUGAAUGGGAAAAGGGGCUUCUAUUGUGGCCCUCUGAACUUCCAAGUCAAUGCAAUUUUUAACCACUGGCUUGUGGUACUUUGAAAAUCACCAGGGGCUGUCAGAGUUGGGUCCUCUGAAAAAUUUACAGUGCUAAAUCAGAGCAUAUGCCGGGAGGGAAAAAAUUGCUUAAGAUUGGAGCAAGUACAGUAUCCGUCUGCCCCCUAGUGUAAGAGUCCUCGCUGCCUAAAAUUCAACUUUAAAAGAAAAGGAGCUCUUAAAGGGAAACGACUUUGGGCUCACGUAGACAUAGGAGAAUGAAACUUCUGUACAUUUUAAUCUGAAUAAUUCUUCAGGAUUUAAAAUUAAUUGGCUCUGGCUUGGUUGGACUGUACUCGGAUCUCGCCGCCUCUGCGCUGCCCGAGUCACUGGUGAAGAGGUGAUGAUUUUUUUUUUUUUUUGAACUGGGUUUAUGUGCGUCCCUCUCACCCCCUCCUCUCUUUUUCUUUCUCUCUGUCUCUGUCGUCUCUCUCGCUGGCUUUUUAAAAAUGAGGAACCCGUUCCUUGAACGUUUUGGACGGAGCACAGAAUUGCUUCUUAAAGUCAGUCCGGCGCGGUUGCAAUAGACAGCAAAAAGGUUGCCUGAAACCCGCACGCCAGCUCCACCACCCUGCCCGACGGGUCUAGAAAAGACUCACGCAAGAAGCUUCUAAUAAAGAAGUCAAAGACCUCUUGAGAAUUGCCUCCAUAUAAAACAGUAAGAAGGUUCAGAGGAUCUGUAGCCUCCAGAGCCCAAGCAGGAAGAACCUGUGGCUUGUGAAUUAUUGCAUGCUGGGAAGAAGCUCACCAGGCUGCUAGAGGGAGGGGAUAAGAAGAAAGGAAAAACAAAGAACCUACGCGCUGAAGUUUGGAUUCAAAUUAUGUACAAAGAAGGAGAUCAGGUCUUCUUCCUGUUGUUAAGCUAUGAGGCGAAGAGGUAUCUGCUAUCAUGCACUCCUGCCGUGAUGUACUGUGAUGCACCCUCGGGCCAAAGCAGCAGAACUGAGAGACCAUGGCCUGAAACCUUUGGAACGACUUCUUUCUACAGCCAUUGGUAUGGAAAAUGUGCGGAAAAAAACAUUCACUUUGUUGCCUCCAAUUAGAAAAUUUCCAUUUCGACAUUGACAGGCUCUCCCCUUUCUCAUGUGGUAAGUUUGAUACCAAAGGCCAAAGCACUGCCUUUCUUCUCUUUUUGUUUUCUCUUCCCACAAAACCAGGUAUUAUUAGGUCUCUUGAAAAGCUGCACAAACCAACUGUUCCUCCACAGAUUAUCCCUUUCACAGCUCAGGUGCUGGGUCUCAUUGGUUUACACUUCCUGUGAGCUGUGGUCAAAUGUGGGCUGGGUCACUCGGCAUUAAUUCACCUUACGAGAGAAUGUUUGUAUUUGGCCUUGUAAGUCCCAUUUCCCCUGGGAACGAUCGUGUGUAGACUAUGUUUACACUGCUUGGCGGGCAGUUGGGCGCUGGCUUUUAUGGGACAACUGGACAUCAGAUGUCAGAAAACCAGGAAGUCAUUUUUCUCCUCUGCAACUUCAGUCAGCCAAUCAAGGAUAAGGUUUUUGAGUAUUGAAGCACAGUUAACUUGGAGGAAGCACCUGGAAGGUACUGAUGUUUUGUAACAGGACAGAAAUUUGCACUAUUGAUAGAAUUUUGAGGGCUGGGACUGAAGCUCCGUGAUAGACCGCUUCCCUUGCUUGCCCAAAGUUCUGCGUUUGAUCCUAGGUACCCCAAGAAAAAGUCACAGAAUUUCCCCUGAUCCUAUAUCUGAAAAUGCAAAUUUGUGCUGGUACACUUUAAAAUUUUUUACUUUCUUUUUUCUUUUUUUUCCUCCCUUUUUCCUCCUUAUUUUUCUUGGUAUUUUCAAUUUUUUUAUUAGUACAUGCUUGCAGUACAUAAUGUUUACCUUCCUUGUUGGGGUUGGUGCAGGUACAUAACACAUUUUAAUUCCUUUUUUCACCCCAUUUCUCUCCUCUGCCUUCCUCUGUCUCUUUGUCCCCUUUGCAUUAGAGAAAGAUCGACCUCUCUACUUCCUGUUACCUUUACGCUCAUUGUCUUCCAAGGGGUGAUGAGAUGGACACUUGUGUUGCUGUGAUAAGGUUCCUGAUGGGGCUGCUGUCUGUGGACUCCCUGGACUGCUGGGGAAGGGAGUCAAGAGUUCCUGCAGCAGAUGCGCAGAACAGUCAUGAGAAGGUUCGAAGGAGGCCAAGAAUAACAUCACUUUUCAGAUGAGGGGCAUGCUAGAGCCAAGAUCAUCACUGGGUUGGAGAUUGAACCAGGGCCUUGUGUGUGCGAGGCAGCAAGUGCUCUGCCGGCCUCUGUUCCCCACACUUUCUUACUCCUUACCUGUCCUCCUCCCUGGCUUCCACCUCUGGUUCUCCCCUUCAGCUCCAUUGUUCUGUGUGUUCCUAAAGCUCUUCCCUACCUGAUAUCAUCUUGUGGUCACGCCUUUAUCAUGUUUUGCUUGAAAAAAGCCCAAACUCCCUUCCCCUCCUCUCUCUUCCCUUUCUGUCCCCUCCCUUCCCCUUCCCUUUUCUUCCCUUCCCUCCCCUCCCCUUCUGUCUCCUUCCCUUCCCUUCCCUUCCCUCCCCUUCUCUUUCCUCCCCUUCUCUAUUGACUCCAUUGUCAUUUUCAGACCAAUGAACUGCUUUUUGCUUUUCUCAUCUCAUUACUUGAUGAUUACUUGGAAAACACAUCUUGAUGUUGCUUUCUGCCUUCUUGACCACUGUCUCCUGCUUUCUAAGUCCUGCCUUAUGUUCCAUGUGAUACAUGCCUUUUUCCUCUGCUCUGAUCUUUCUUGUCCUGGAAGCCGGUUGCCCAGGCACGGUCACAGGGUAUGGAGCCCUGGCACACACCAUGCCUGCACACCUGACAUGGCUUCCUGAGAGGGCCUUCCUCCACUCUAUCCAGGAUUUCAGCUCCUGAAUGUUUUCCUGAAGAAGUAAAGCUGGAUACCCUUCCUCAGUGAGCUUCUCUAGCCAGCAGAGAGACACUCUCUUCUUGUACAUGGCUACCUUACUGUAACCCUUUGGAAUGUCUUCUGGACAAGCUGAUCUCUGCAACUUAUAAUUGCUUCCUGUGUUUCAAAGCCUGGAAUCUUGCAGAAGGAAGCAGAAAUACUUGUUAUUGGCCUGAAUUAAGAUAAAAGGAAAAGAGAAGAUUAUAGCUGUUGGCACUUUGUUUAUGAAAACAUCAUUUUGAGGAUAUGCUUGAAUCAUGCAAAAGUAAUGUUUCCCGCUCCUCGCCCAGCAUAUUUUAAAUGCCAGCCCAGCCAGACAAAAGGAACAGUGAUCAGAUGGGUUGUACCUUUCCUACAUGCAGUGUAAUACAUGAUAGCACCAUCUAAUCUUUACUGACUUUUAGAUAUUCUGGAAAUACAUCUGAAAAGUAUAUAUAAGGAUUUACGAGUAUAAAAAUAAAGAAAUGUUCAUUGUAAAAAAUUACAGCCCUUUAUUUUAAAGUAACUUAAGUCUCACAAGAAGGUAUAAAAAUAAAUUGGAGAGCUCUUUUGUAAGUUUCACUCAGUUUUCCCCAAGGAUAAGCUAGCAUCUCAUUUAACAGUUGUCAAAAUUAGGAAAUUGAUUUAUUUCUGUUGACUCUGAGAUUUUAUUUAGAAUUCAUGGGCUCUUACAUGAACAUGUAACCUGGUGUAUACUAAUAUGUGGAGAUCAAUGGAGCACCAGUUUUGAGGGGGUACCAGUGAAUAUUGAUGUGCAGAGUUGACAUGAGUUCUCUCACCAGUGAAUAUUGAUAUGCAAGAUGCUUUGAUGACGUGAUGUUUUUGCAUCUUGUGGGGAACUAAUGAAGGGGUAGGGUUGGCUCCACUCAUGGAGAUCUUUUAGACUUAAUUGAUUCAUCUAUUCAUUAAAGAACUGAUCAAUGAAUCAACCUUGUGUCAGGUGCCAGCUUUGAUGAACUGGAGAUGUAUAGAUGGAGAAGGAGUCUGUGCUCCAGGAACACGUGAGAAGCAAUAGAUAAAAGAUCCAUUAUUACAAUGUAGGGUGUUGCACACUGUCUUAUACAUGAAGCAGUGCAACACCAGAAGCACCUACAGGUGCCCCACAUCAUAGUAGGUGUUAGGGAAAACGUAGUGAAGGAAGAGGAGGCAUUUUACUGCAAGUGAAUGAGACAAGAGUUAAUAUGCAAUGACAAUAGCAUUCCCUGUCAGAGGGCGAUGUUCCAGAGUGAUGGUUCUAAGGAGAUCAGGGGAUAUGGGUAAGCAACUCAAGAGCAGGUCACGUGGCCAAUCAGUGUUCUAAGAUGCUGGCAAUGAGCACUUAUGGGCUGCCUAGACCAAGCGCUCUAAUUCCACAUCAUAAGACCCUGUCUUCUAGUAUCCUCAUUGUAGCCCAUGCCUUACUGUUGUAUGAGCUGUCAUUGUUUCUUAGACUGACUCUGGCUCUUUGAUACAUCUGGUAUUAGACCUUGUCCACUCAGUGCUGGGAGGCUGGGGCUGGGAUUCAGAGAACCAAAGUAAAGGGAAUGUGGUUCUCUAGAGUCUACUUAGUACUGGGCAUUGGAAAAACUGUUGUGUGUUCCUGUCCUAAAAACUGAGAUUCUUAAUUUUUUUUUUUUUUUUUUUUUUUUGUCCUGGGAAUUGAACUCCCAACCUCGUGCUUGCCCAGCAGAUGCUAUGCUGCUGAGCUAUAUCCCUGCUCAAAGUUCCUUAUUUAAAAUGGGACAACAUCAUUGUCCUGUGGGUUGCUGUAGAGCUGAUCACAGAUCUUUGAUUCUCAGAGCUUUCAGCUGUUUUCCAUCAGACUUAAAGUGGUACCCUAGAUUUUGGCCCAAAGGUAUGGUCUACAAAGAGCUAUACAUUGUGGUCCUAAAUACUUAGAUCUUCUUUCCUCAAUAGCAUCAUAUCCUGUUCUACUGACAUGUCCUGCUAGUCUAGUCAUGCUGGCCUGUUUAAUGCUCUGUUCACUUACCAAGUUCUUUCCUACACCUGGACCUUUGCACGUGCUAUUUCCAGAAAUACUUUCCUCCUUCUCAUACCUUCACCUAAAACCUGAGUCUUCAGCCUUCUCUUACAAGCUGUUCUGCUUUGAAGCAUUUUUCAUAUCAUCUGCCCUAUGAUUCUUAUGUUCUACCUAUAAUUUGUGCACAUGAUGGUAUUUGGUAUUUUGCCUUCACUGGUGAGAUUAUAAAGUAUCUAUCUCCACUGUUGAACUGUAGAUUCUAUGAGGGGCUGGAUGAUGUCUAUUUUAUCAGCAAGUACUCACUAAAUGGAUUAUAGACUGAAUUACAGGAUGAGUGAAAAGCAUAAUGACAAAACCUUAUUUUUUCUAUAUGUUUAAGUAAUGGUACACCUGAGAUUUGGAAGUACUUACACACUGUUCAAGGCUCAUUUAUUUUGGAGUCAUUUCUAAGGUUUGUCUUUUUCUUAAUUUAGGAAGCUGAAUUUUCUCAUAAGAGGUCAUGGUUGACAAGGUUCUGCUUUUGAUUUUGUCUGUUCCCUGGAUUUUGCUUUGAAUGUCUCAUUUUGGAGAAUCUCAAGGCCACUCAAACAAGGAACAAACCAUCUGUCAGGCACCCACCCAUGGCUUGAAUGGUGGUGAAUGACAACAGCUCAGAGCUGCUUUCCUAAGAGUCCUAAGCAGAGUUCUUUGUCACACGUGAGGCCUGAUCAGGGGUGCACCUGGGCAGACAUGACAAAUGAGUGCAUCCUUGAAGAAGUAUAUCUACUGGAUUUUAGAUCCAAGUCCUGUCUUCACUGGCCUGAAUGAGAGAGAAGUCAUUACUAGGUUAAAUGAGGUGCAUUGUGGGGGAACAAAAUGAGGUAUUUGAGAUAGGCUCCCCAAAGAUUCAUGCACGUCCUUUAUUCAAAAGGCAUUUAGUCCUCUAAGAGUUGCCAAAAUCCUAACAGUUUUACCAUUGCUGAAAAGUCCAUGUCCCAAGUCUCCUCCAAGAUCUAAGGCAAACUCUGAGCUGUGAGCUCCUGUACAAAUGAAAAAUUAAACACUUCUAACAUUUGGUGACACAAGACAAACAUUACCAUUCCAGAAGGUACAAACAGGGGAAUAUAAAGGACUGGAACCAAAGCAAGUCCAAAACCCAACAGGACAAGUAUUAAGUGUUGUACUUCCAUGUGGGACAUCUGUGGCAAGCCGUGAGCUCCAAAGGGUUUGCGUGGUUCCACACCUACAGUACUUGCAUGGGUGUAGCAUCCACAUCUUCUCUCUUGGGCUCACUUUACUUCUUCCUUGAAGGUUUCCUCAGAUGGUCCACGUUUCUAGAUUCUCCAAAUCUCUGGGGCCUCCAUUGUACUUUUGGCUUCAUACUCACAACUUCAUACACUGCCUGUUCAGAGGCACACUUCCUGGCCUCCCAAACCAUCUUUUGAAACCUGCAUAAUCUCAAACUCUUGCAUUCUGUAUGUGCCUAAAACCAGCACCACGUGGAUGAUGCUAAGCUGUUGCCAGCUGGAGUGGCAGUCAACCUUUCUUUUCUUUUUGUAGUAGAGGUCAAGUGCCUGGUUGCUGAGCACUCUGGAUCUAAUUUUGAGGAACAAAUUCUCUAUGCUGCUGCCAUUCUGAAUCCUGGCAUGUCCACCUAUGCCACCAUUCUGGAACAUGGUGCUCUGUGGCUUUUUCCUCAAAGAAAAGUCUUUCAUUUUUGCAGUUUUGGGACUGCAAAAGGUGGAGCCUUGCUGCUUUUUAUGAUGCCCUCAGGCCACCUUUUCUAUUCUGUUCCUUCUCAGCAAUAGAGAUCUCUUCAGCUCUAUGUUUGUAGUCCAAAGCUUUAGUGGAGCUUCCUUUUUGGUCAAACUCACAGCAUUUUAAAUCAUUAUGUGGAGCUCUUUCAUUUUGAUUCUCAACAUAGAUCAAGGUAAAAUCCCUCAACAAUAGCCAUGCCACUACCUCAACAUUAGACUGUCUUGAAGUUUCUUCUGCCAGAUUUAUUAGUCUGCCACACUUAAUCUUAGACUCAGGCAAAAAUCUCUGGACAUGAGCAAAAACAGACAAACUUUCUACUAAGCCAUAAUACAUGUUGUCUGGAGUCCAGCAGCCAGUGUAGUCCUUAUUUCUAGCAGAAACCUUUCAAGCCUGGACUUUUCCUGCAGAAUUUCUAUCAGCCUUCUUGGCCUUUCCCAUACAGAACCACCUAACAUGUUUCAGCUCUACUCUUUCAGGUGACAUUUCUGAAUGUUUCCAAACUCUUCCCACAAGUCAUUCCCAAAGGCUCUUGAGUCACAUGGUUAUGUAAAGUCAUAGCAAUGAUCCCACUUGUCUGGCACCAAAUUCUGUGUUGGUUACUUUUUUCUUGUUGCUGAGAAAAUACCCAAUUUCCAAAAUUAAGUAAGAUUUAUUUAGCUCCCAGAUUGUGGAGGUUUCAGUCCAUGAUCUUCUGGGUACAAGGCAGGGUGACUCUUGUCAGUGGUCAAUAGUUCACUAAUGGCAGAAAACAACCAAAGUAACAAGAGCAAAAGAUGAGGAGAGAGUGAGGAGAGAUGACUCUUUAUGUCCCCUGUAUUGUACAUAGGCUACCACACUCUAUAUAGGAUGGGUGUAACACUCACACCCAUAAUUCCAGCAUUGGGUGAUGAAUCAAUCACAAGCUCUAGAAACCUGCCCCCAUGGCCACAUGAGACUUUGGGAGGACAUCCAGAUGCAAACCAUAACAACCACUGGAUUUGACACUGCAACUUCUGCUCUUGCCCAAAGUUAAAUUGACCAUGAAAAGUACACAAUUUGAGCUGAUUUGUGAUAUUAAGACAGCAAGACAGUCCUAAAUGAGCAUUUCCAGAACUGUUAUAAAAUGGAAAGAAUGAUAGAUAAGUGCAUUUGAAAUGAAGAGGAAUAUUCUGCAAAGGAUUAAGGGUAAUGUGUCUUUUAUUGUAAAAUGUUUUUAAAUUUAAUUUUCACCAUAUUUUAACAUUCACCAUAAUUUAAACAUUCACCAUAUUUUUUAAUCACAUCUCCUAUUUUCCUUUUCCUUGUCUUUGCUUCUAUUUUAUUUUUUUUCUGCCUUGCCAUUUGGGACCCCCCCCCCCCCGUUUAAUCAGAAGAUCAUUAUAAAUAGAAAGAAGACAAAUGUUAAAAUGUUGGAUGUAAAGAGUACAAAUGGCCAUGACAAGACACCAAUACAAGUAUUUGGAUUCACUGGGUCUCCAUCAAAACUUCAGUCAGCAGGAAGCUGUAGAGUGUUCUCUUGCCACGGGAAACACAGGAAAUCCAAGUUUAGUUUUAAAAGCACUUGACAUUUUUUGAGCUGGGAGGUAGGGUCCAUUAAAAAUGACUAAAUAACAAUGGUGUAGGAAAAGCUUGCUCUAUCCAAGGUUAGAAACUAAGGAGGUGAUUGUCCACUACUUGGUGAGAUAAAGGAUACAGCACAGUCAGCUGGCAUAUCAUGGGGAGCGGAGAGUCACCCCAGGACACUUUUCCAAAGUGCACUAGUGUCCUCACUGAUUCUGAACACUGCCAUUUACACUUCGCUUCUCAGCAACCCAGAACAGUCCCAGUGCGCAGAAGCUCCUUGAAUAUCACACUCCUGUUCUCAUGACUACCUAGGAAAUUUAUUUUCCUCCUCUUGACUAGAGAGUCCUUUGCAUGGAGGUUACCUCACAGUGAGGGGUUGCUUAGCUCAAGCCUCAGAAAGCGCACACUGCAUCUUUAAGAAAUAGUUUACUUGUGAAUCAGUAAAUGUACUAGACAAAGCAGCCAUUACUUAUGCAUUCCUGCAUACCCAGCAAGGUGAAAAUAAUAGAAUAAACAUCAUAUACUUCAUUAUGAUAUCGGUUUACACUUCCAGGGUACACAAAAAGAGGCCAUUUCAUCAAGCUAAUUGCCUGAAAGUAAAAGAGAGAGAACUUUAGCUAUUAGUCUAUUAUGGGGCUUUUUUCUUAAUCACAAAUAGGGGCCGUGUGUCCCUGGGGGGAUGUGUAUUCUAAUUUACAAUUGAACUACAGAUCAGAGCAAUCAAUCUUGGGCAGCACUUUUACAGUGUAAUUGCUGCAACAUAACAAAUAAAAAAAAAGCAAAGCAAAGAAGAAGAAGGUCUAAGCUGAGCUUCGGCUUGAGGUAGAGAUAUUUCCAGGCACUAGUUCAGGGUGGGAGGGAGACAAGCACCACACAGACAUGAAUAUGCAAUGAGGACUCAUUAGCGGCCUAGUGUUGCCAUGACGAAUGGCAUUAUCCCCGGCCUGGUGCUGCCUAAACAUGAAUUUUAUAACGACCCAUUUAUCAUGACUUGUCAUGGGCUUCGGUACCCUGCUUUCUUCCAGCACACACACCUUGCCUUGUUAUGGCGGUAGAAAUCUACACUUUCAUUAUGAUUGUUUCCUUUUGUAUUGACUUCUAGCUCUUCCAAGCAAGUGUUCAACUAUGGCAACAUGCUAAUAAGUGAUAUGUGACUUAAAAGUUGAACUAAAAGUUGAUUAUUCAUUCUAUCUUGACAAUCAUCAUAUGACAGAGAAAAGUUGGGUUCAACUUUGAAAGAAAUUUCCUCCUCUAUGAGUUUUUUGGUUUGUUUGUUUGCUUGUUUUAUAGUAUUCUGAUACUAUGGCUUAAAAAAAUUGAAAUGAACUAAGUUAUCUUCCUUUCAUUUCUUUGUAUUUCUUCUUUGUACUUCACAAACCUUACACUAUGUUAAGCAUAUAGCUCAAAAGUUUUGAUACCUUCUCAAAAACUCUUGGUAUUUCCAAACAUAUGUAAGAUUGAAAUGUUUGGGAGAGAUUUAGUGGUCACUUUUUUUUUUUUUUUUUUAUAAGGGCAUAAGUUGACUUGUUACUUAGAAGCUCUGGUAUAGUGUAGGGAGGAAGUCUGGCCAAAACUUAAUCCUAAUUAAAACUUAUUAAUAGAAAGAAAGAAGGAAAGAGACAAAAGCCAUCUCCCAUGUCAGACAGACCCCAAUGAGGUUUGGUCAGCCAGAAACCACAGAAUUGCCAGAUGCAAAGAAGUGAAUCUUUGGCACUGGUCAGAAGGAAGGAGGCUGUGCAAGCCCAUCAGAGUUAAACCCACCAGUCCCACAAAACAAGAGUCCUAGGUUGGUAUAAAUGCCCUUUUGCAGUCAGAGACAAAUUCAGUGAGCUUUAUAACUAGUCUGUUUACUUGCAAUAAAAAGAAGAGCAAGAAAAACUUGAAUUUCUAUUCAGCUAUGCAAAGGAUAGAACCACAGUUGAAUUAGAAUCUGAUGUUGCUUUGGCCAGCCAGGGAUUGUAAUUGUUUCUGAUAUAAUUUAGAAACAUAGUUUUCCAGGUCUUCUCUGUGUUACUGUCCUCACUGAGUCUUCUUGGAGUUCAUAUUAUUAGUGAUGACACUUUUAUAUAGUGAUAUUAUUUAUGUAAUAUAUAUAAUAUUGACAAUAGACUAUUUUGUAUGCUAACAAUUUUAUAAAGCAUAAAUAUUUAUAAAGUACUUUGACCAUGCAAAGUUCUUUCAAUAGAUCCUCAUGCUAGAUUGAAACAAGGCUAUUUCCUUCCCCUCCCAAAAAAAUUUCAGUGCUAGAGCUGGAACACAGGGCUUUGCAUACUCCAUCCCUGUACCAUGCUCCCAACCCUUUUUCCAUUUUAAAGAAGAGAACAUUGAGGCCAUGUGGUAAAUAAACUGACUCAAGCAUACAUAGAACAUGGAAGGGCAGGGACUCACUAUCAAGUCUGUCUUUAGAUCUAAGUCUGUGUUUUCAUGUAAUUGAAGUUACAGAAGAUUGUAAAAUGUCAGGUUGAGUUGCUUCUUCGUUUCCACAGAAGGUUGAUUCCAGGAUCCCUCAUGGAUAUCAAAAUCUGUGUCUGUUCAAUCCCUUAAAGAAAAUAGUGCAGUAUUUGCCUAGAAUCCUGGCAUGCCCUCUUGCAUAUUUUAGACCAUCUCUAGGUGACUUUUAACAUAUAAUAUAAUAAGAAUAUUAAAUGAAUAGAUAUAGUAUAUUACUCAGGAAAUGAUGUCAAGAUAAAAGGUCUGUACAUACUGGUGCAGAUGAAUUUUUUUCCCGAAAUAUUGUUGUACAUUUUCAAUGAAGGUGAAUUCCCUGCCCCCAAAGUGUCAUGUCCUGUGUUUGGCUGAAUCUGUAAAAGAGAGUCAAUGGUAGUGUCAUUUAGGAAUUAGUAAAAAAGUUAAUAAGUUGGGAAUGAAGCCCAAUGAAGAGGCGGCCAUCAUUUACACUUGAGAGCCUGCCUGUGACUCUCCAGUUACUUAUUAGAACUGAAACUAAUACACACAUGCCAAUUAAAAUUAAGCUGCUAUUCCAAUCUUUUGGAUUGAAUUGUCUUUCAUUGUUUAAAAGUUCACAUAGGAAAUAUUUUUCACUGUAAAGAUUCGGAUACAAUUCUGAACGGUGUUCCUGUGUUGUCAGUCUACUGGGUACUUUGUUUUGUUUCUGAAGAAAAUAUGCUUUGUGUUUUCCCUAUGAAUGUACUAAAUGGGAGUUUUAGAGAUAAUUUUGUGAAGAAAGAAUUUCCAAAUAUUGGCAAAUGAUAUUAAAAAAACACCAGUUGUGCCUGAACAGAUUAAGAGUGUCUACAUGACAUUAAACAUCUGGAUGAAGAAGGAAAAAAAGUAAAAACCUUGAUGUUUUGUUUAUUUGACACUAUACAUCUGGAUCUUUAAAAACAUCUGGAUUCUUAAUUUAUCCCCCCCGCCAAGUUUCACUGAGUGUUCAACAUUAUAUGCAGAAAGGUGAAUGGGAAGACUUAGUUCCAUUAUUACUGAAUUAGAUAAAAUGAUUGUGUGAAGUUAAUUUGCAAAUACUAAUUAUUCUAUUUAGCAGAACACAAAGUGAAUGAAAUCCUCCACCAGCCAAAAAAAUACGAGAAGAAAGAGGUAAUUUGGGGAUUUCAGGAUAUGAUGUUGCUUAAGCGUAUUUUAAUGUUGAUCAUAGUUUACUGUCCUCAGUUUCCCUGGGCAAAAAUCUUUUUCUUUCUAACCAUUUUGUUUCUUGGGGAGUAGUUUUGCCAUGUGUUAGGAGGACUUGUUAAUUUACAGUUUUUGGAUAAUAUUAGAAUUUAGUAAACACUUAGGAGCAUACAAGAUGCAUCUAAUAAUUGGCAUUUCCUUUGCCAAAUGAAUGAUCCAGCAUGAUAUAUUGCUAUUUCUUUCUGACAUACCAGAGGCAGAACCCCAAAGAGCAGCAACUGAACUGAACCUGAAAAACUUCAGCACAGUGAAAAGCACCUUAUGUGACUGACACUAGUGUGUGUGUGAUCUCAUCUAAAAAGUUUUCCUAAUUAUUGAACAUUUCCUCCAUAGCUUACUCUCUAGCCAAUCAGUUAUAAUGGAAAUGGUCUGCUUGCUUUUUAUAGUCUCAAGUUUUCGAAAUGAUUAGUGCUUCCUUGUGAUAGCCCAUUAAUUGGACACACAACCCAGAUGAAAAGGCUGAAGCCCCGAGCAUAUAAAAAAACAUAAGGUUGUUGCUAUUUAAGUGCCUUCAAAAGAUCUAAUUUGAUUUUUAAAAGCAAUUCUGCAGAUGUGAAAAUUAAAGGCACAAAGAAACAAGAUAUGGUUUAAUGACUAUUUAGGUUAAGAAACAUUUAGAGGUUUUAGUAGACUUACACCAAAAAAAAUUUUUUUUUUUAAAUUUAUCUCUUAGCUUGGAAAGAUUGGGUCCACAACACAGCAGAAAUUGCUGAAUUUUAUGGGCUGCUAUUUCCUUGAUCAAAUUGCUCCAUUCUUAGCCAGCGUGCUUCUGAAGGCAAUUUGGAUUACUUUGUGCAGAUUUUGAAUCCCAGUAUUCGUGAAUCAGAUUUUAAACUCUCACUAAGUAAGUCUCUCUACUUGGCUUAUCUUAGCUAUUUGUCAACUAACCCAUCCCCCCAUCCCAGCAAAUUGUACAACUUAUUCCCACUUUAAAAAGACAGGAAAAAAGAACGAAAGAAAGCAAGGAAGGAAGAAAGAAAAAAAAUAGAAAGCCCCUUCCCAUUGGCUCUAAUGACAUCUUCAGUCAAUAAUGAGUUAAUAAAAAUCUCAAAAUCAUCUGGGCUAGAUAAGGAGGAAGAAAGAAAAGUAUUGUACUGUAAUGACAGGCUCUGGGCUGCCCUCUGAGAUGUCAUGGGUCAGUCAUGUUAAGAAUGUGUGCGUCCAAUCAUCUGCUGAUUUUUAUCAGCGAGCCCUCCAGCAGGAGCUGACAAGGGCCAGUUUGGGAGCUACAAUGAAUAAACAAUGACUUUUUGGGUUGUUGGGGGCUGUGUAAUAGAGUGAGGGGUUUAUAUAUACUAAAACAUGAUGACAUUAGCAAUCAAUAUACCAAUUACUGGACAAGUUAUUGGAUGAGGCACUCACGUGUCCUCAGCCUUCUUCACUUUGAAGAGGCCUCUAGGGAAAGAGGCCCUAGGCUCAGAGGCAGGCAGGGGUCCAAGAUCUGAGGCCCCAUCUCAGAGUGCACAAGUCCAGCUCUGGAUGAUCUGAAUCAUAGGGGAGUUGAUUAAAAAUAUGGAGCCUUCUUCCCAGAGAUUCCAUCUCAGGAGUCUGAGGGUAGGGCCAGGGCUUGAUGUUUUUAAUCAGAGCCUCCAGGUAAUGCUUAUUAGACAGGUUAGGUUAGACAGGUUAGAAUCACUGCUGUAAGCUGUGAUUCUCAAAGUGCUGGCCCCAUGCAUCACCAAGAAGAGAGUGAGAAAUGCAGGAUCUCGGCCUCUUCCCUAAACCUGCUGAAUUAGCCUGCAUGUGGGUCAGAUGCUCUUCCCGUUCAAGACCUGUGGCUUGGGGCAAAAAUCCCCACCAACGCCAGGAGCACAGCCCUGUGCCUCACCAUCUCUGAGGUCCCUCAUGGAGAAUUCGUUACUCCCACUAGUUAGUAUGCUGCAGUUUGCAAAUAAUUUACUUGAAGAAAUCAGAGUUGGUCCGGUAUUAUCUUUGUAAUCAUGUCAUUUUCAUUUAGUUCUUCCCUGCCAGUUUUUUGUUUUGAAUGAUCUUGAUGUACAAAUGACUUUGAUUAAGGCAAGGAAAGAAUAAACAGAUAUUCUGUCUAUUAGAGUGGAAAGGGAGGGAGGACUUGUAAAAAGUAUUAAAAGAAAGCAAGAACUGGAAGAAAAAAACCAUUGGGAAGCAUUUCUUUCAUGUGUAGCUAAGAUGUACUUGAGUAUUCAAUAUCAGGUUUAAAGGCAAAUGUCCUGUGUAUAGGAUUAAGUUCAGUUAGUUUGGUUUUUAGUAGCCUCAGAGCCCACACUACGCUUCCAUUAGGAGAGGACACUGCAAAUGGACCAGGGUCCAACACAGCAUCAGGGGAAGGCGAUUGGCAAAGACCUUCUGGUACCAGGGCAACAGAGAGACUUCUUUUGUUCAGGCCAGUGUCUUUCUUCUGAGGCAGCCCUAAGGUUGCUGAGUUCUCCCAAACUUGGAUUAAUCUAUCAAAUAUGCAGGAAAUUUAAUUAGUGUUCAACAGAGGAUGUAUGAAAGAACAAUUUUAAGCUGCUACAAUAAUCUGAAACCAAGUGAGGAACAUCGAGAUAAAUUGACUUUGCACUAGUGCUCUGCAAAGCCGCAGACACCCUACUAUGCACUGUGUGAUCUCUAGGGAAGCGAUCCUCCAGUGAGUGGAUUUGAUCGCCAAAACCCUUUCAUAAAGGACAUCCUUAUAGAAUUAGUGUCUGGAGGUCAACUUUCAGAAGUCAAGGGUUCAAAGCUUCGAGAUGACAAAUAGUUAUGGGUAGGAGGGAGUUCUGUGUCGUAUACAGCAAGGAGUCGCUUUAUUAUAAUUUAUGAAAUGCUGUAUCUGGCAUCAGGAUUUCUUAUGUGGUGGCUUACUGCCAAAAGGAAGGUUCGUGUAACCAUCACCAAUGAGUUAAAUAAGUUGUCUAGCUAUUGAUGGUCUGGUUAAAUCAUCCCUGAAGUGUUGGCAAAUAUCCCAGAACAGUCAUUUGAAAAAAAAAAUUGUUUUAUUUGGGUUUUACAAGUGAGAUCACUUUGUGUUUUCAUACAUGAGGGAUAAUUCCCUCAUGACUCCUUCCAAGCACCCAGAAACUGCAGGCAGAAUUGAUUGUACCUCAGGCCAGACCUCACACUGAAAAGGAGAUCUGCUCCUUUCAAUGCUGAUCAUUUCUACCUCCCUGGGUUCCGGAUGGCCAUGCCUGUGGCUGCCAUCUUAGUCUCCAUAGCAACUAUCUGUGAAAGUGACGGAGAUUCGAGUUCAGGCCAGUAGAAAUUUUAAAUACAUAGCUGGUUAUAAAGUUUCUCCUCUUAAAGUUACUGCUGAAACUGCAUUAAUGCCAAAUGUUAAUUCUUGCUGAGGACACGCUGUCUUAUAAAUGCUAUGAAGGAAUAUCAUUUUUCCCUGUAGAAGUGAAGGUACUUUUAAGGUCGUGUUAAGAAAGGGGUUAGUUUCCCAAGUAACAUCUGCAGGUCACCUGCUUGCAUAUAAAAUCGCCCCUAGGCUACUCUCACCCCUUUGUUACACAAUAGUUAGGAGGAAUUCUCACAAGGAAGAAAGAAUGGAAUGUAAGUGACAUUGCAAAGAUAUGCAAAGAUUAAAAACCAAACAAAACCCUCAAACAAAACAAUCCCACCCGCCUAGGCUAAUAAUCAUCUUUUCUACAUACAAGUCUACCCAAGACUGAAAACUCAUUAGGGGAUUUCUUUCCGAACUAAAAAUAAUAGAGUAGACUCAACUUUGGGAGGUCCUCCUGACUUUUGUUCAUUUUCUUUGUAAACAUAGGACUGUAGACACCACAUAUGCAUCUCGGCUUUCCGGGCACAAGGCAUUUGAUGGAAGUCUCUCUCCACCCUGUAGGAAGGCAUUCACCAGAGCAAACAGAGAGCUACUCACUGCCGCUCUGGUUUGUUAUGUAGUUGAAUAUUUCUCCCCUUUAUAUUCUUUGAAAUGUUUUGAAUUAAAAUAGCUUACUGAAGGUCACUGGAGGCAUAUGGUCCUGCUCAAAACUUUAAACAAAACAUUAGUUUUUACAACCUUUUGUAAUUUGGUAUUGUAUACAACAUGGUUAUAUGCAGACUUUCUGUAAUCUUUUCAGUGGGUGACAGAAAUAUGAGAAGCAAAUUUAUAAGCCAUUUAGUGAAGCAUUUAAUCAAUUUCAUGCAUAGGAAAGAACUCCGAUUGCUUGGCUUUAUCAAUCUUGUUCUCCAGUACAGCUCUGGUCAAAUGUGAUCUCCAAAUGCUGUCUUGGUGGGGGAGGGAUCCUGUGGGUGCAACCACCGUGCCCCGCGCCGGAAUGGAAACCUCACGUCCUGCAUCAGCCUAGUGUGGUCGCCAGCGCCUUUGAGUCUUCUGGAUGCUGUUAAUAUAUUUCAGAGGGAGAGUCCAGGUCUAAUGUUUAGAGGAAGUUUUCCAGGCCUUCUACUGUGAAGUUACUCAUUAAACACUCUUUUCCCAGAGUGACUCUCACGUGCUCAGCCACGCACAUUGCAUGUGCAACCUCAGGCUUUGAGAAAUAGUUUUCAAAACCAGUUUUGGUAGCAAUUACUGCCCUCAGAUACACAAAACAUAAAAUGACACAUUAAAAUGUGACUUCUCCUAAGUUAAAGAACCAGAGCAAUGUGGCCAGAGUCACUGGAACCCACCGAAGGCUCAUGCUUCAGGGAGAGCUAGGUUGGUACUUUUCAGAAUAUUUAAACUGUCCUUCGGUCUUCAUGUUCUGAUUCCCUUUUACAUUGGUUGAAAGAUUAAUCCAACUCUUGGCAACAUAGAAGGUUAAUAUUUUCUUUGCUGUCAUGUGCUAGAAUCCCUCUUCUGACACUUUACCCCAAACACUAUCAGGUUCUUAAGUGAAAAAGUCCCAAGGGAGCCAAAGCGGAUCUCGAUAAUCAUUAUCUGCUAAACUAUAGUCCAAUUGCAUUAGUUCCCCCCUGUUCUGGAAGACUGGAACCAAUACGAAUGUACCAUAGAUAGAAUUUCUAAUUUAGAAAGCAAAGCACCUCCACUGAAUUCUGAGCCUAGAAUAAUAUUUCAUUGAUAAAUUUCACUCUAGAUUUGAAGCCAGUUUCAUUCAUGGGUCUCAUCUAAGUCACACUCCUUUUAGGAUGCAGCAGACAUAGAGCUUUUUCUGCAUCAGUUCAGUGCCAUGCCACUUGCUAUUUAUCUUGUGACAUUAUUUCUCUGAUAGGGGCCCCAAGAUUAUACUGGGCAGAAUUGCCUUGAUAUAUUACACAAAGCUGGCAGCUUUUAUGGUGAUUGGCUAAAGGAGAUUGGUUGGCCUUCCUGGGUUUCUGUCUGUAUAUCUAUACUCCGGUCAUUACAUUUUGGAUUAAAACAGUAUGUCAUUGACUUUUUAAAUAUAUAUAUUUAAAAAGUUCUGGGAAGCAAACUCAGGUCCUCACACAUGCUAGACAAGCACUCUGUCACUGAGUUAUGUACAUCUCCAGAACUUCUUAAAAAAAAAAAAAAACCAGUCAAUUUGGUGGAAAGAAGUCUUUAGUAUAAGAUCAAGAUGAUUAUGUUGGUAUAUGCUUGUAACCCCAGUACUUUGAGAGGCUGAAGCAGGAGGAUUAUGAGUUCAAGCCCAGUCUGCACAAUUUAGCAACUCAGUAAGAACCUGUUUCAAAAUAAAAAUAAAAAUAAUGGGGUAGAUAUAUAGCUCAAUGGGAGGGUCCUGGGUUCAGUCACUCAUAAGACCCCCUCUUCCAUUCACAGCUAAUUAGGACUAGGAAAUUUUAAAUUCUCAAAUAAAAUUUGGAACCGAAAGCAAUUGCCAGAUAUUCUCCUUGUAAACAUAAAACAGAGGAACCCAGCAGGAUGAUUGCUACUCAGUGGACUGAGGUAGCAUGAUCACAAGUUUAAGACAACCUGGGCAAAUUAGUGAGACUUUGCUUAAAAAUAAGGGAGCGAGGGAUUUGGGGUGUAGCUCACUGGUAGAGCGCUAGAUUGGCAUGCACCUCCAGAACCACCCGAAAUGUAGAUGAUCAAGCAGCUCUCCCUGUGGCUAUUGUCAAUUCCAUUUGCUUUUUUUGACUUCCCUUGAUGUGACCUAUGUUAUCAGAUUUGUGCAUAUUGCCAGGCCCUUCCCCAUUGGUAAAUCUCAAACACAGCUGUCAUCUUUUGUGUAUCAUUGUGGAUUCGGUAAUUUCUUUCACCCAGGUCUUAUAAAUCUUUUCUUGUUAGUAGAAACAAGUACAGCUCAUUCUUUCUAACUGCUUCAAGAAUUUUGGUUGGCCUGGCUGGAUCAGUACUCACCAAGUUAUUCUAUAUAAUGUACAUCUGGGUUCCUCCCACCUUUUGGUUAUUAUAAGUACCAUUUUGGUAGAUAUCUUUUUACAUAUUUUAAAAAUAUUUCUAUGUACUUACAUACAUAACACUAACAAAUUGUGUGCCCUGCUCUACCAUAAGCACUUAAAGUGAAAUUACUAGGUCGUGAGUGGACAUAUUUUAUGUUUGACUUGUUAUUUCCAAAUUACUCAGAGGUUUUAAUUGUAAAUGAAGGUACUACCAUCAUCUCUGAUGAAGCCUUUUCAUCUCACCUUAUACCUACAAUAGGCCCAGUUACUCUGAUUCUCUUUUAUAACUUUGCUUCUCCAAGAAGGUGGAUAGCACCCCAAAUGUCUUCCCCACUGGGCUUUUCCUCCUUCCUGGGAAAGAUGGGGACAGGUAACCUCAUCACCGGAACCUGGCCAGAUGUUUACAAAUAGUGGUGGCCACAUUCAGAGCUUGGAAGCCUCUAGUCACAAAACAAAACAAAGCAAGCACAUCAUCUGUUCAGCACAGAAUAAAGGCAGUGAUGCACAUCCAUUUCCACUGUAGCAUUAACGUCACAAUUCAAACAAUUGUUUUAACUUGCGUUAUACUUGAGACCAAUGUAUUUCCCUGAGCCCUUUUUUUCUUUUUUUCUACUUCUGUCUCCAUCUCUCUCUCUCCUCUCCUCUCUCCCAUCUCUUUCUCUUCUUCUUGCAUUCUUUCUUGUCCUGCACACGACCACGGAGCUAUACUCCUAGCCUCCUGCUUUUGAAGACAGCCUUGUGAUCAGAGAUAGAAAGUACUGUGAUAAAGGAGAGUUUGUUUAGGGCUUAAAGCUCAAGAAGUGGAUCGACUUGGUAACCACGGGCCAGAACAACUUUCCCUGUCCCUGUCACCCAGCAAGUUCCUGCUCCUUUCUGCUGGACCGCACCCUGUCCUCCUCUCCCUCUCACUGCUCCCUCUUGAAUCAGGCUUCAGCCCCUGUUCACCCCAAUGGCUCUGUGCUUGUAGUGCCUUAGUCUAGGUCUUGUCUCUUCCUUCAGUUUACCCUGCUGAAUCAUCAUGGAGCAUGAACUUGGUUUUGAUUUGUUACAGUUUGAGCUGGCUUCUUUUCUAAACUCUUUGUUCUGCUCUUCAACGUCGUCUAUGAUUUCUUCCUAAUAUUCAUCUUUUAAACACUGUUUUCUCCAUUUCCUAUUUAUUUUAUUUAGCAAAACAAAAAUGGUUAUG
This is a long non-coding RNA of Cavia porcellus (domestic guinea pig), 22102 nucleotides long. RefSeq lists it as uncharacterized. The record is from RefSeq and is a predicted model, not a curated record. NCBI's taxonomy places the organism in Eukaryota, Metazoa, Chordata, Mammalia, Rodentia, Caviidae. The transcript is spliced from 8 exons.